RNAcentral lists this transfer RNA (75 nucleotides) under Methanobacteriota archaeon. RNAcentral describes it as "Euryarchaeota archaeon tRNA-Arg". It matches the Rfam family "tRNA". Rfam says of the family: Transfer RNA (tRNA) molecules are approximately 80 nucleotides in length. Their secondary structure includes four short double-helical elements and three loops (D, anti-codon, and T loops). RNAcentral also lists the same sequence under 2 other names. The record is from RNAcentral. Lineage: Archaea; Methanobacteriati; Methanobacteriota.
GGAGGCAUGGUGUAAUGGAUAGCAUAUGGGGUUUCGAACCCUGUGAUCCCGGUUCGAAUCCGGGUGCCUUCACCA